GAACACCAACAACACACCCAAUGUUUCAACCAAAUCCACAACACACGGCCACUUUCAAGUUCACAACAACAAUGUCAAUGUUUUAAGCUCAAACUUUAGAUCUAGACACUUGUAGUGUUGGUGAGAAAGAAACCAACACUAGAAACAUUCUAAAUAAGAAAAAUAUUAAUAGAUCUAGACAAUACAAUUUGGCCAAGACUACAACAACAAGAACAAUAAUUUCUCGGCCAAGAACUUAAAUGGACAGAUUGCACCUUUUUCUAAAAAUUUUAGUUUUUCAAUAUUUUUUUUAAUUUUCAAGUUUACGAGCCCAAGAUUGAUCCUGUGUAAACAAUAUCAAUCCAUUCUAUGAUACCAGAUGAUACAAGAACAACCAAGGAAGACACAAAAACCACACACCAAAAACAUUCCACUAGUCAAAAACCUGUGAACCUCUGUGAUGACCACACUCGAAUUCAAGAACAACAACAAGACUACAAGAGAAUAGAGUGUUUAACACCUAUUGGCAUCCAACAAUCCCAAACUAUAUUAACAACAAUAGGAUGAAGAACAACAAAAUUAUAACAACAAGAACAAUACAGGUUACAAUAGAAGACACUAUCAAUGGUUACAACAAAAUAAAGAUAGAAAGGUAGACAAAUGGAUGGUAUAAUCUUAAGAACCCAAGAGCUUAUUCCACUCUUGGAUCCUUAACACUACACACAACUAUCACCUAUAUCUUGCAAUUGACAUAAGAGAGGCUUCCACCACCCAAGCACCAACGUAUCAAGAAAAAUACAACACACAAAUGAUUCCUCACUUGUGCAAUGCCCUAGUUUUGGUUGGACUCUCUCUCACUCUAAGAGAAGUAUUAUUUCAAUAAUAAUAAUUUAAAAAAGAACUAAAAAUUCUAUAAUGUUAUAUUUAUAUUACAUUACAAAAUAAGAGAUAAAAUACUAAAGGGCCCUUUCAUUAAUGGGCUCAUUGAGUGCACUUUAGGGGAGGGUUUGGGCCUUCUUCACACUUGGGCUUGUGCACCUUUUUAGGUGAUCUUCAAAAUACUCAAAAAUUGUCCAAGGUCAUGAUCGUACUUAUAUUAGUUUGUGACAGCGACAGUCCAAAUAGAGAUAUCACAAAGAAUGAGAAAAAUAGUGAUGAAAUUAGUAGUUCGAAAGAACAACCAAAUGAUAUACCUGUAAAGAAUGAUGAUGGAAAUGUUGGCUCUAGUGGAGAUCGAAUGAUGGAUAAAAAAACAAAUGUCGAGAAUUAUCAGAAAUUUAUUUUUUACGAUUCAACUAUAUCGAUAGACAAAGUUGAAGUUCAAAAUGAACAAAAGAAUGAUGCUGAAAAUACUGAAUUGGUUAGAGAUCGACUGCUGGACAAAAAAACAAACAUUGAGCAUUUGCAGACGGAGAACAUUGAAGUUUAAAAUGAACCGCAGGGGUCUCACAUUGAGAUUUUAACAGCUGCAUUUUAAGAAUCUACAGAUAACAUCAUAGCUGACAUUUUCACACCAGUCAUUGAAAUGCCACUUAAGUCUGUUAGUCCUAAAAACUCCAUUGACAGUGAAUGAUACAUCCUUAAUAGUCAAUUUUCAUCAAAUUUUUCAGAGGCCCACUUGGGUAACAGGAUGCAAAAAACACUUGCACCAAGAAUCAGGAAGCGAACUAAGAUAUUCAUGUCACCACAUUUGACUGAAUUUGACUCUAGUUGCAAAGGCAAGAAGAUUGUCACAAAUUAUUUUCCUCAAAAGAAUUUGUUUGAUGAUUUUCUUAUAUCUGAAGAUGGCCUAACCAAAUUAAUUGAGCAUUACUCUGAAUGGAUUGUCGAAGAAUUAUUAAAGUUUCAUGAAAAAAAGUAAGAUAUGUUACUUUUUUUAUUAUCUUCUAAUAUUAAAUUUCUGAUGUAUUGAAACUUAUCAUAACUACUCUUAUAGGAAAAUGAAGGACAAUCA
This is a long non-coding RNA of Capsicum annuum, 1933 nucleotides long. RefSeq lists it as uncharacterized. The transcript has 4 exons. NCBI's taxonomy places the organism in Eukaryota, Viridiplantae, Streptophyta, Magnoliopsida, Solanales, Solanaceae. The record is from RefSeq and is a predicted model, not a curated record.